CAGUCAAUAAGAUUUUUGUCAUCCAGGAGUGGAAUUAAUUCCCAAGUUUGAGUUUUAGUAAGGGCAGUGAGCUCAUCAUUCAUGGCUUCCACCCAAUGAGGAUCAUUACGAGCUUUUUUUAUAGGACAUGAGUUCAAAAUAAGUUGAAUAUGAGAUAGAAAAGAACGAUAAUAUAAUGAGAAAUAAGUGUUAAUGAAAUCAUUAAAUUUUACCAGUGGAUGACGAGCGUGGAU
Molecule: long non-coding RNA, 233 nt
Filed under: Actinidia chinensis (golden kiwifruit)
Lineage: Eukaryota; Viridiplantae; Streptophyta; Magnoliopsida; Ericales; Actinidiaceae
Description: long non-coding RNA (ACHI_LNC000475)
Source: RNAcentral